Molecule: ribosomal RNA, 301 nt
Filed under: uncultured bacterium
Lineage: Bacteria
Description: partial 16S ribosomal RNA
Rfam family: Bacterial small subunit ribosomal RNA
Source: RNAcentral
CAGCCGCCACGGGAAUACGUAGGUGGCGAGCGUUGUCCGGAUUUAUUGGGCGUAAAGGGAGUGUAGGCGGUCUUUUAAGUCUGAUGUGAAGGCCCACGGCUCAACCGUGGAGGGUCAUUGGAAACUGGGAGACUUGAGUGCAGAAGAGGAGAGCGGAAUUCCAUGUGUAGCGGUGAAAUGCGUAGAUAUAUGGAGGAACACCAGUGGCGAAGGCGGCUCUCUGGUCUGUAACUGACGCUGAGGCUCGAAAGCGUGGGGAGCAAACAGGAUUAGAUACCCCUGUAGUCCCUGUCUCUUAUAC